GGGGGGAGUGCAAGAUCAUGGACUGUGUCCCCCGGCGCCCUGGGAUCCAGGGCCUGUGCUGCUGGAAUCGAGCUCCUGGGGCCACAGCUCCCG
Molecule: microRNA precursor, 93 nt
Filed under: Canis lupus familiaris (dog)
Lineage: Eukaryota; Metazoa; Chordata; Mammalia; Carnivora; Canidae
Also listed under: 1 other name
Description: mir-8799 microRNA precursor family
Rfam family: mir-8799 microRNA precursor family
Source: Rfam by way of RNAcentral